Molecule: ribosomal RNA, 213 nt
Filed under: uncultured Geothermobacter sp.
Lineage: Bacteria; Pseudomonadati; Thermodesulfobacteriota; Desulfuromonadia; Desulfuromonadales; Geothermobacteraceae
Description: partial 16S ribosomal RNA
Rfam family: Bacterial small subunit ribosomal RNA
Source: RNAcentral
AAGUGGGAUGACGUCAAGUCCUCAUGGCCCUUAUAUCCAGGGCUACACACGUGCUACAAUGGCCGGUACAAAGGGUCGCAAUACCGCAAGGUGGAAGCUAAUCCCAAAAGCCGGUCUCAGUUCGGAUUGGAGUCUGCAACUCGACUCCAUGAAGUCGGAAUCGCUAGUAAUCGCGUAUCAGCAUGACGCGGUGAAUACCGGUUCCCGGGCCUU